This 878-nucleotide ribosomal RNA is filed under the name uncultured fungus. RNAcentral's name for it is "eukaryotic LSU rRNA". It matches the Rfam family "Eukaryotic large subunit ribosomal RNA", at positions 75 to 932 of the family's 3401-position model. The record is from RNAcentral. Lineage: Eukaryota; Fungi.
UUCCCCUAGUACUGCGAGUGAAGCGGGAAAAGCUCAAAUUUAAAAUCUGGUGGUCUUUGGCCAUCCGAGUUGUAAUUUAGAGAAGCGUCUUCCGCGCUGGACCGUGCACAAGUCUCCUGGAAUGGAGCGUCAUAGAGGGUGAGAAUCCCGUCUUUGGCACGGACACGCCAGGGCUUUUGUGAUGCGCUCUCGAAGAGUCGAGUUGUUUGGGAAUGCAGCUCAAAAUGGGUGGUGAACUCCAUCUAAAGCUAAAUAUUGGCGAGAGACCGAUAGCGAACAAGUACCGUGAGGGAAAGAUGAAAAGCACUUUGGAAAGAGAGUGAAACAGUACGUGAAAUUGUUGAAAGGGAAACGCUUGAAGUCAGUCGCGUCGACCGAGACUCAGCCUCGCCUUGGCUUGGUGUAAUUCUCGGCUGACGGGUCAGCAUCAAUUUUGCCUCUUGGAUAAUGGCGAGGGAAAUGUGACACCUUUACGGUGUGUUAUAGUCUCUUGUCGCAUGCAAGGGUUGGGAUUGAGGAACUCAGCACGCGCCUUCGGGUGUCGGGGUUAUGCCCACGAUACGUGCUUAGGAUGUUGGCGUAAUGGCUUUAAACGACCCGUCUUGAAACACGGACCAAGGAGUCUAACAUGCGUGCGAGUGUUCGGGUGGAAAACCCGUGCGCGCAAUGAAAGUGAAAGUUGGGACCUCUGUCGUGGAGGGCACCGACGCCCGGACCAGACCUUCUGUGACGGCUCUGCGGUAAAGCAUGUAUGUUAGGACCCGAAAGAUGGUGAACUAUGCCUGAAUAGGGUGAAGCCAGAGGAAACUCUGGUGGAGGCUCGUAGCGAUUCUGACGUGCAAAUCGAUCGUCAAAUUUGGGUAUAGGGGCGAAAGACU